This 399-nucleotide ribosomal RNA is filed under the name uncultured bacterium. RNAcentral describes it as "partial 16S ribosomal RNA". It matches the Rfam family "Bacterial small subunit ribosomal RNA", at positions 338 to 734 of the family's 1533-position model. The record is from RNAcentral.
CCUACGGGAGGCAGCAGUGAGGAAUAUUGGUCAAUGGGCGGAAGCCUGAACCAGCCAAGUCGCGUGAGGGAAGACGGCCCUAUGUGUUGUAAACCUCUUUUAUAAGGGAACAAUGAAUGCGACUUGUAGCCUGAUGCCUGUACCUGAUGAAUAAGCAUCGGCUAACUCCGUGCCAGCAGCCGCGGUAAUACGGAGGAUUCGAGCGUUAUCCGGAUUUAUUGGGUUUAAAGGGAGCGUAGGUGGCCUGUUAAGUCAGUUGUGAAAGUCUGGGGCUCAACCGUAAGAUUGCAGUUGAAACUGGCAGUCUUGAGUACAGUAGAGGUGCGCGGAAUUCGUGGUGUAGCGGUGAAAUGCUUAGAUAUCGCGAAGAACUCCGAUUGCGAAGGCAGCUCACUGGAC